CCUCCUUGUUCCUCGUGCUCUAUUCUCAGGGUUUCUGGUUCCUCUUGUUUUAUUAUCAGUGUUUCUGGUUCCUCUUGUUUUAUUCUCAGGGUUUCUGGUUCCUCUUGUUUUAUUCUCCGGGUUUCUGGUUCCUCUUGUUUUAUUAUCAGUGUUUCUGGUUCCUCUUGUUUUAUUAUCAGUGUUUCUGGUUCCUCUUGUUUUAUUCUCAGGGUUUCUGGUUCCUCUUGUUUUAUUCUUCGGGUUUCUGGUUCCUCUUGUUUUAUUCUCCGGGUUUCUGGUUCCUCGUGUUUUAUUCUCCCGGCUCCUCGUGUUUUAUUCUGCAAGUUUCUGGAUCGUGUCUUAUUCUGGUUUCUGGCUCCUCGUGUUUUAUUCUCUCGGUUUCUGGUUUUUCUCCCAGUUUCUGUCUCCUCGUGUUUUAUUCCCCGGGUUUCUGGCUCCUCGUGUUUUAUUCCCCAGGUUUCUGGCUCCUCGUGUUUUAUUCCCCAGGUUUCUGGCUCGUGUUUUAUUCCCCAGGUUUCUGGCUCCUCUUGUUUUAUUCUCCAGGUUUCUGGUUCUCUCGUGUUCUCUUCACUCUCCUCUUUAACAAACUCCAUCUUCACAGCAGCAGAUCUAAGUUCAGAUGAUAUUCCUCCAGAUAUUCCUGCUUGCUUUAAAACCUAGUCACUACUUUGAGGAUAAGAAUAUUACAGGUAUUUAUUGACCUGAUUCAAAAACUGUAUUUCUUUAUUUACAGAAACGACUUUUCUAAGAGUUUGUUUUAAACCAGCAUCACGAAAACAAAACAAAACAACAACAACAGAGAGCGCGGUGAAACUAAUCUUCUUCCUCUAAGUUUUAAUGGUGUUUGUCAAACAAACGAAUGUGUUUUAGCGCCACCCGCUGGACUGGAGAGUGAAGCGGCGAGAGGAGAAAUAAAAAAGUAAUGUGUCAUACAGCUAGUAUGGUGAUACAUUAAAUAAACAGAAUUCGUGCUCUGCAUUUAACCCAUCCAAAGUACACACACACACACACACACACACACGGAGCAGUGGGGAGAAGUUGGGGGUUCGCCCCCGAUAUUCGAAUAUUCAACCUUAGGGUUAGGGGUCAAACUGUCUAACCACUAGGCCACGAAAAAAAAAAAAAAAGCUGAUCUGCAAAAAUAAAAAUUCCAACACAAAUUAAAUAUGACAUGACUGACACAGCACUUUCUUACAUAGAAGUGACUGGUUGGUUUACUUUGUCCUGUGUCAACGACAUAAUAACUAGUGGGAACGUGAUAAUAUGUGUGGCCACAAGAUAAUUUUGUCGGGGUAACGACAUCCUUACAUCCUCAGUAGCAUUUGAACACAGUAGCAAAUUAACCAUGAUUUUGUUACUUCAAAUAAUAAUUUACAAAUAAGUAUUAAUAUACUGUAAUCUUUUUUGUUGUUGUUGUUGCUAUAAAAAAAGACCUAUGCCAUCAAUAGCCUUUAAAAUGACUUAAAAUGCAUUAUAUUAAAAAACUAUGAUGCAAUAAUGAUUGGUUAAUAAUAACACUGUUAAAAUACAUAAUGUAGGCAAAUACAAAUAAACAAUUUAUGUACAUGUUAUUACAAAUGGCUGCACAGGGAGCCAAAUGCCAUGUAAAUGCUGCUGCUACAUUUUUGCUAUAGAUGACACAGCCUAUAUAAUUUCUUCAACAAAAAACGUGUAUAUCACAACCCUUACAAAAUAAACCAUGGUUUUAUCAUAGUAAACUUCUUAAUUUGCUUUUGCAUGAUUUCUGAAUGCUUAAGACUAUGAAAUAAAUUAGUCAUAAUAAAGUUAUAGCCAUAGGUAAAUGUCGAGAGCUAAAAUUGUAAUUAGUAAAUAAUACACUUUAUUCAUUUAAUUUUUUAUUUGAUUAAAGUUCUAUUUUCACCCCUAUAGUAGGUGUUUUUUUUUUUUUUUUCAUCAUCAUAUUUGAGGAAGGGGGGCAAAACAAUACAAU
This is a long non-coding RNA of Carassius auratus (goldfish), 1951 nucleotides long. The record is from Ensembl. Lineage: Eukaryota; Metazoa; Chordata; Actinopteri; Cypriniformes; Cyprinidae.